GCAGGCAGACUGUUUGUCCAUGAGUGGGCUCACCUCCGGUGGGGAGAAUUUGAUGAAUACAAUGAAGAUCAGCCUUUCUACAGCGCUAAGCCAAAAAAAAUUGAAGCAACAAGGUGUUCCACAGGCAUCUCUGGUAUAAAUAGAGUUUAUAAGUGUCAAGGAGGCAGCUGUCUUAUUAGAAUGUGCAGAGUUGAUUCUACAACAAAACUAUAUGAAAAAGAUUGUCAAUUCUUUCCUGAUAAAGUGCAAACAGAAGAAGCAUCCAUAAUGUUUAUGCAAAGUAUUGAUUCUGUUGUUGAAUUCUAUAAUGAAAAAAACCAUAAUCAAGAAGCUCCAAGCCUACAAAACAUAAAGUGCAAUUUUAGAAGUACAUGGGAGGUGAUCAGCAAUUCUGAGGGUUUUAAAAACACAACACUCAUGGUGACACCACCUUCUCCACCUGUCUUCUCAUUGCUGACGAUCAAAGAAUUGUGUGCUUACUUCUUCAUAAGUCUGUAAGCAUGGCGAGCUAUAACCGCCUGAAUCGAAUGAAUCAAGCAGCAAUACAAUUCCUGCUGCAGACUGUUGAAAAUGGAUCCUGGGUGGGGAUGGUUCACUUUGAUAGUACUGCCACUAUUAUAAAUAAGCUAAUCCAAAUAAUAAGCAGCCAUGAAAGAAAUACACUCUGGAAAAGUUACCUACAUAUGCUCAGGGAGGAAAUUCCAUCUGCUCUGGAAUUAAAUCUGCAUUUCUGAAAUCUUCACUGUCUAAAGGGACAGAUUCAAGAUGGCCAAUUAGGAGUAGCUCAGGAUUGCAGCUCCCAGCGAAAGUGCGGAGGGUGAGUGGAUGCCGCAUUUCCAGAUGGAUUUUUAUUGCCCACAGACCAGGAGAUUCCCAGGUGGAGGAGCCCCACAGGUUGCCAGCGCGGCUGUCUUGGCCGGCGCACCUAUUUUGGCCAGCGCGGCUGUUUAGGCGCUGCGGUUCUCCGCACAAAAUAGACAGGUUCGGGCGCUGUUUUAGCUGGCGAUUGGAGCUCCUAGG
Long non-coding RNA from Sapajus apella (tufted capuchin), 1020 nucleotides. RefSeq lists it as uncharacterized. The record is from RefSeq and is a predicted model, not a curated record. Lineage: Eukaryota; Metazoa; Chordata; Mammalia; Primates; Cebidae. The transcript is spliced from 3 exons.